This 250-nucleotide unclassified non-coding RNA is filed under the name plant metagenome. RNAcentral describes it as "partial contains small subunit ribosomal RNA, internal transcribed spacer 1, and 5.8S ribosomal RNA". The record is from RNAcentral.
GUAGGUGAACCUGCGGAAGGAUCAUUAACACGUUUUAACACGUACUAACCACAAAACUGUGAAUCUGUCGAUGGUGUUUUUUGGCGCACGUGUGGUAAAGGGGAAGGUCAAGUGGGGGGAGGGUGGGGCUUUUGAGGCUUUGAGGCGCGUUUUUGUUUUUUUGUUUUUGAAAAUUGGGGGGGGGUGGGGGGAAUUGGCGGCAUGUUGGAGGAGCUGUACCGGCACCAAAAACCGCCUCCAUUUUUCCUCC